This 405-nucleotide ribosomal RNA is filed under the name uncultured bacterium. Its description in RNAcentral is "partial 16S ribosomal RNA". It matches the Rfam family "Bacterial small subunit ribosomal RNA", at positions 30 to 526 of the family's 1533-position model. The record is from RNAcentral.
AUUGAACGCUAGCGGGAUGCUUUACACAUGCAAGUCGAGCGAGUGGCGGACGGGUGAGUAAUAUAUCGGAACGUGCCCAAUGGCGGGGGAUAACUACUCGAAAGGGUAGCUAAUACCGCAUACUAUUGGAGCAGCCCAUAUCGGAUUAGCUAGUUGGUGGGGUAAGGGCUCACCAAGGCAACGAUCCGUAGCUGGUUUGAGAGGACGACCAGCCCCACUGGAACUGGGACACGGCCCAGACUCCUACGGGAGGCAGCAGUGGGGAAUUUUGGACAAUGGGGGAAACCCUGAUGCAGCCAUGCCGCGUGUAUGAGAAGGCCUUAGGGUUGUAAAGUACUUUCAGUCGGGAGGCGUUACCGACAGAAGAAGCACCGGCUAACUCCGUGCCAGCAGCCGCGGUAAUUC